GACGAAGGAUGCAAGCGUUAUCCGGAUUCAUUGGGUUUAAAGGGAGCGUAGGUGGCCUUAUAAGUCAGUGGUGAAAUCUCUCAGCUUAACUGAGAAAUUGCCAUUGAUACUGUAGGGCUUGAGUACAGAUGCCGUUGGUGGAAUAUGACAUGUAGUGGUGAAAUACAUAGAGAUGUCAUAGAACACCGAUUGCGAAGGCAGCUGACGAAACUGUAACUGACACUGAGGCUCGAAAGUGCGGGGAUCAAACAGG
This 253-nucleotide ribosomal RNA is filed under the name uncultured bacterium. RNAcentral describes it as "partial 16S ribosomal RNA". It matches the Rfam family "Bacterial small subunit ribosomal RNA", at positions 524 to 776 of the family's 1533-position model. The record is from RNAcentral.